AAGGCUGACAAAGAUGAGGUCACCAGUAGGAGCAGUGUCUUUUACCCUUUAUUACUGACCUGAUGAGCCAAGGCUUCUGAAAACCACCCUCUGAAACCCACAGGCUCAGGGCCUGGAGCCCCAGAUGAGUCACUCAGGCCCUGCCAGAGAGCUCUGUGUCCCUGAUCCGGUUCUACAUAAUCAAAUACAACCCGGUGCAGAUAAUCGAGACAAUGGGGCUGUGUGCUACGGACGGGGGAGGCCAGGAGAGGAGGCUGCAGGCCAGAGCCAGUGGCAGGCUGAGGGGAGACCACGGGGAGCCAGGGUGGCCCACAGGGUCUGGGUCGCUUGCUGGUGUCACGGCAGUAGCAGGGCGGGGGUCCAGCCGCCAGCUUGACCACGGCAGGGCGGGGGUCCGGCCGCCAGCUUGACCACGGCAGGGCGGGGCUUGCAGCUCGGUAGAGGAUUGGACAGGAGCAGGGGGGCGCCCCAGAGGCCACCGCUGCGGAUCUUUCCAGCUGCCAGGUGACUCAGCCCCAAAGGCGCGAAAGGGCAAGCACGUGAGGUGCGCGGGAGACGUAGUAGAAGGGGUGUCCCACGUGGGAAAACGGGGCUGUAGGGAGGAGGUGGGACUGCCGCCGUUUCAGAAGACCGUACUUCCGACGUGGGGGUGGUACGCUCUAGGGGGCGGGACACCCCCCAGGGGCCAAGAGCUGGGGCAGGUAGGGGCGUGGCCUUAGGGCCCGCCUCUCCCGCCUCCUCGGCCUGGGGCUCCAAGCACACCGGACGCAGCUGCGCAACCGCCCCACAGCACGGCCAUGGGUCUUAGUCCUGUCUCGACCCCCCGCGAGCCCGCCCCAUCUGCCGCUUGACUAGAGGCCCAGGUGGUCAUCAUGGGUCAGUGCUACUACAACGAGACCAUCGGCUUUUUCUAUAAUAACAGUGGCAAGGAGCUCAGCCUUCGUUGGCGCCCCAAGGAUGUGGUGGUGGUGGCUCUGGGGCUGACGGUCAGUGUGCUGGUGCUGCUCACCAAUCUGCUGGUUAUCGCAGCCAUCGCCUCCAAUCGACGCUUCCACCAGCCCAUAUACUACCUGCUCGGCAACUUGGCUGCCGCGGACCUCUUCGCUGGCAUGGCCUACCUCUUCCUCAUGUUCCAUACUGGCCCACGAACCGCCAGGCUCUCCAUCAAAGGCUGGUUCCUGCGACAGGGCCUUCUGGACACCAGCCUGACGGCAUCGGUGGCCACACUGCUGGCCAUCGCUGUGGAGCGGCACCGUAGUGUGAUGGCUGUACAGCUACACAGCCGCCUGCCCCGCGGCCGAGUGGUCACACUCAUUGUGGGUGUGUGGGUGGCUGCCCUGGGCCUGGGGUUGCUGCCGGCACACUUCUGGCACUGCCUCUGUGACUUGGACAGUUGCUCACGAAUGGUGCCCCUGUUCAGCCGCUCCUACCUGGCCGCGUGGGCCCUGUCCAGCCUGCUUGUCUUCCUGCUCAUGGUAGCCGUCUACACACGCAUUUUCUUCUACGUGCGUAGACGGGUGGAACGCAUGGCGGAGCAUGUCAGCUGCUAUCCCCGCUACCGAGAGACGACACUCAGCCUAGUCAAGACUGUUGUCAUCAUCCUGGGGGCAUUCGUGGUGUGCUGGACACCAGGCCAGGUGGUGCUGCUCCUAGAUGGUCUGGACUGUAAAUCCUGCAAUGUCCUGGCUGUGGAGAAGUACUUCCUGCUCCUGGCUGAGGCCAACUCACUGGUCAACGCAGUGGUGUACUCCUGCCGAGAUGCCGAGAUGCGCCGCACCUUCCGCCGCCUCCUCUGCUGCAUGUGCUUCCGCUGGUCCAACCACAAAUCUGCCCGCUACUCAUCUUCUGCCCAGACGGGUGCCAGUACCCGAAUCAUGCUUCCUGAGAAUGGCCACCCACUGAUGGACUCCACCCUUUAGCUUCCUUGGACUGAGGCGGGAGACGGGCAGCCAGAGCGUCGUCUGUCUGCACGCCAUGGCCACUUGCAGUUCUCCUGACUCCAUCCAGCCCAGCAGAUGUAUGGCCCUCCAUACUCCCCUAGCCCACAGAUCUGCCUUCCUCUGGGCACAGGGAUUUGGGGACAUCUCCAUGCACAUGGGAGAGCAUCCAGAGGGGCUUGGCAAUCUGACUCUCAGUCAUCUCAGGGCUAGCCUUGAACUUGCAUCCGUCCUGCCUGCAAAUCCUGUGUGCUGGGGUUAGAACUAUGCACUGCCAUCCGGGCUGCUGUCUCUUCCUGGAGUCUUGUGUCGUUCUUUUCUGUCGACUGUCCUUCUACCUGUCUCCCUCCUCAAGAACCCAGGGUGAGUUCUGGUUUUUGUAAGCCUAUUCUUUCAACCUGCCACCCCCAGUAUUGUUAUUGUUUUAUUAUUAAUAUUAAUAUUAUUAAUAUUAUUGUUGUUAUUAUUAUUAUUUUGAGACACAAGAUCUCACAACAUAGCUCAGGCCAUUUUAGAACUCACUGUGUAGCUUCAGGCUAACUUCCAGCUCUCAGCUGUCUUCCUGCCUCUGCUUCCUGAUGCUGGGAUGACAAGCCCGAGACAGCAUGUGCAGAUGGAGCCGGUGUCUGACUACACAGCUUGGAAAUGACACAGACAUGCCAAGAGGGACAGAAAACUCCCCGAGGAAGGGGCUUCCGUGUCCCAUGGGGCCUGGAAUUAAGUCACAAGCUUACCUGGACUUUACCCCUUAUCCCCCAAGGCCUCAGAUAUGCCAGGCCUAAGAUGAGCCCUAUCUCUGCCCAGAGGAGCCCCUGGCAGUCAGUGUGGACCAUGAGCGUGGUUCCCUGCUCCACCUCACCAGAGCAGCCAGAGUUAUAGUCUCACUUUGCAUCCACAUGCCGAGCAACAGCAGGAAUUUGAACCUCUAUCUUAUCUUAAGCCAAAUUCUUCAGGCAUUAAAGCAUCCAUUUCCAAAGAACUGAAAACAUCUCUGUCUCUACAGUAAAUGUUCUCUGCUUUCCCCAUCCUGGGACCUUGCACACACUAGGCAGUUCCCCACCACAGAGCUCUGUCACAGGAACCAUUUCCAAAGGGAAAAUGCCCAUCCCUGCCUCUGUGAGGACACAGAUUGAGCUGAGGGCCUGGGUAGUACUUGAUCCAAUGUGAGCAGUGUGCACUACAGCCAGAGUCUCUCAAGGGGACAACCCAGGAACUGCCAGGUGUCCGUGAAGGACCCUGUCCCCACGUCCAUGGAGUUCCAGGCCUGCUGGACCUGUGUCACUUUGGGUAUUGAGGCAGCCAGUCCAGUCCUCUGGGACCCCCCGCUGGUCAGCUCUCCCCUGUACUUAGGUCUGUCCUCCAUCGUCGUUGUCCAGCUUGUGUUGAGGGACUUGUCAGCUUUUUUUUCUUUCCUUCUUCCACUUUAUAAGUGUUAUGUUUUUUGUUUCUGUUUGUUUGAGACAGGGUCUCCUCUCAAUGUAGUCCUGGCUGUCCUGGAACUCGCUCUGUAGACCAGGCUGGCUUCGAAUUUAGAGAUCCACCUACCUCUGCCUCCUGAGAGCUGGGAUUAGAGAGUGCCUAGCCGUGCGCAUGUGUUUGCACGAAUGUGGGUGUUCUUGUACCUUUGUGUGCAUGUGGAGGUUUGUGUCAGGAAUCCUCGCUGGGGCUCGAUGAAGCAGGGCCUUUCAGUCAAACCCGACCGUCUCACCGGGCAGCUGUCCUGGGGAGGGAGUCCUUUGUCACUGCCCUUCGAGGCUGGAGUCCACACCUGCAUUUAUGUGGAUUUUUGCGGUUCUGAACUCUAGUCUUCACACAUUAACUGCUUAUCUUUCCCCUCCCUCAGCCCAGCUUGAUCUCUCCUCUGCUGGAUGACAUCAGGUUUUUGUCUUUUUAGACCACUGGAAUUCACAGUCCUCUCCCUUCCACCAAACCAGGCCUGCAUAGUGCUGCACCACGGGCUGACAUUUUGUACAGGGCUCCACCCUCGCCCCCUUCAAGGUUCUGUUACUUCCUGUUGCUGGGGCCAAGCCUAUGGUUUCCUUCACCAGGUUUCCCUCAUCCUUUGCAUUCUUGCCGGGUGCCCCUUAGGUCUCACCAUUCCCCACCAGCUGCUUGACAGAACAAAGAUGAUGGCUUUCCAGCCAUGCUAACCCUCACCGAGCCUUCAUCUGAAUCCUGUCGCAGAUCAAACAGAUGCUGGGAGGUUCUGUGACUUUGCAGAGAGAUUUGUGUCCCUUCUUCUUUCUCUUGAGCCUGUUGUCAUGUCAUGAAUGCCAAACAAAAGGCCCAUGAGAGUUCUGACUCACUUGGGGUAUGCCCAAGAGUAGGCAUUCAUUUUUUUAGACACAUGCUAGCAUUUGCUAGACCUGGAAUGCUGGGGUUUGAAGGAAUGAACAGGCCUAAGACAAGCAGGUAAAGGUGCUUUCUGGCAAGCCUGCAGCAUGAGUUCAAUCCCUGGGCCCAUAUGGAAGGAGAGCACCAAGUCCUGAGAGUUGUUUUCUGCCUCCCGAGUGCUGGGAUUAAAGGCGUGCCCCCCCCCCUCUCUCUCUCUUUCUCUCUCUCUCUCUCUCUCUCUCUCUCUCUCUCUCUCUCACACACACACACACACACACGCACACACGACAGAAUAUUUAAAAGAACAGACAGGUUGAGGUCAUUCCUAAACUGGAUUUUGCUAAAACAGUUUACAGAGCUGACUUUAGUGGAGAGAAGUGCUCAGUCCUAGCUUCCUUCCGGCCGUCAUCUGGCCUCUCAGCCAGGUAUAAGGGGCAUAGAGGAAACAGUUCUGGGGAACCUGCCAGAAGGGACCCUACAGGGGCCCAGGAUUGUGGGAACAGUUGUAUAGCUAUCCCUCCAGGUUGGAUAUGGCCUCUGCCAUGUUGACUCAGCAGCUGUGUUCAUUCCCACAGGACCUCACAAGACUGGACCACUAAUGUGCUCUUGUAGAAAGAGGAGACACGGGGCCCUUCUCACAAGAGUGUGAGUGACACACUUCAGCUGUAGCUGCCCCUGCUCCUGUAACCUCAAUAAAGUCCCUGGUUCACAAUA
This is a non-coding RNA of Peromyscus maniculatus bairdii (prairie deer mouse), 4985 nucleotides long. Lineage: Eukaryota; Metazoa; Chordata; Mammalia; Rodentia; Cricetidae. The record is from RefSeq and is a predicted model, not a curated record.